Long non-coding RNA from Sapajus apella (tufted capuchin), 1586 nucleotides. RefSeq lists it as uncharacterized. Lineage: Eukaryota; Metazoa; Chordata; Mammalia; Primates; Cebidae. The record is from RefSeq and is a predicted model, not a curated record. The transcript has 2 exons.
UAAAAUGGUGUCACAACAAGAAUUAAGAGAGCAUCCAGCAGCUGAAGGAAAAGAACAUCCAAAGAUCUCAUGACCUUUUCUGUGUACCUAGUCGACAUCUACGUAAAUGUAGCCCUCAUUGGCUGGAAUCAUAAUGACAUCUGCAUCUGGAACUGGCCACCAGUGUAACACCCACAAAAUGCAUGACAGAUUUCAGACCACAUGAAAAGUCUACAGAGUGAGAAUAUGAAAAUCCAUCAAUGAGGAGAAAAAAUGUUAUCUCCCACUAAGAACACUUUCCAGAAGCUACACAAUUCCAGUUAUUGAUUCAUUCCAUUUACUAGAGCCUGUUUAUCUUGCUAUGCCUAAAAGCAAGGGAAACUGAAAUAGUUGCUAUUAUGUUCUGUAACUCAGCUUAGCCUAGCUUCAGAAGUUUUAAUAAAGAAUAUAUAUUGAAAUAUUUUCCGGUAGCUAUUCACUUCCAAAUACGCAAUUUUUGUUUCAGCUCAAUCUUCCAUUUUAAUAUCCUAUCACACUCCUUCAUAUAGGUUUAGAUAUAAUUUUAACUUCUUUCUAAGGGACAUUGUUUCCUAUAAUAAAGGUAGUUCAACUAUCUGCUAAGUCAUUGCUUUCCUAUUAUAAGCUAUUUUGAUUACAAUCAAUCUGUGCAAAACAUUAGGAUGCUUUAGCAAUGAUUAAACACCAAUGAAUACUUUCUUAGUUUUACAUGGUGAGCAAAACAAAUAUGGCCCCAUAGUCUCAUCUCAGUUUCCAUAAGUCACUAUCAAUUCAGGCAGAAAACAAAUUGAAAUUUUUGAUUUCCCCAAAUGGAAGAUAAAUUAGACAGCAAUGUUGAGUUAUAAUCUCCAAACCCAAAAUUUCUGUGUUUUCCACAUAAGAAAUCCAAACUGAAAGGUGUAUAACAGCCCAAGAACUGAAUAUGAACACCAGCCUCAAGAGCAGAACAUUGACUAUCAGGACGAAAACUCCAAAAUGCACUGGGGAGCCUUGUGGACACAGGAGGUCUUUCAGAGAGUGAGCAUCAUCAUGACAGGAUGGGCAUGCUAAGACAUCUCUGUAUGCUAUUUUACUCCCUCAUUAAGGAGAAAUCAAAUUCCUUUUCUGACUGAGAUUUUCACACAGUUGGGAGAGAAUUAUAACCAAUUUUUGGUGCUCUUUUUAGGAAAAGCUCUGAGCCUCAGUAAUAUAUUAUGAACCAGGAUAAAAUGAUUAGAUUCAUAAAUAGUUUUGGAAGGCUAGACAAAGUGAUAUUUAAUAACCCAACUGAGUGGUAGUGGAUAACGAAAUACUAUAUCACCAUUAAGAAAUAGGCCCAAUUAAAUAUCUCUUUUUGUGUACUUAGUAGUAGUAGCAGUGGUAGUAAUAUUAUUAGUGUAAUGCUUUAUGGCAAUCAAAAUCAGCAUGAUAAAAUCAUUCUUACCAUAUAGCUUGUCUUUUUAUUUGAAUUGUUAUUUUUAAUUUUAAAUAUCAAGUAAAUGAGUUAUUUCUGAGGCCUCUCUUCUGUUCCAUUUACUUCCUAUUUACUGGGAAUUACCUCCUAUUCAAACACUGCAUUUAUCAUAAUAAUAAAAUGUUUACAUAAUUAU